Molecule: ribosomal RNA, 272 nt
Filed under: uncultured Sphingomonadales bacterium
Lineage: Bacteria; Pseudomonadati; Pseudomonadota; Alphaproteobacteria; Sphingomonadales
Description: partial 16S ribosomal RNA
Rfam family: Bacterial small subunit ribosomal RNA
Source: RNAcentral
UACGAAGGGAGCUAGCGUUGUUCGGAAUUACUGGGCGUAAAGCGCACGUAGGCGGCUUUGUAAGUUAGAGGUGAUAGCCUGGAGCUCAACUCCAGAAUUGCCUUUAAGACUGCAUCGCUUGAAUCCAGGAGAGGUGAGUGGAAUUCCGGGUGUAGAGGUGAAAUUCGUAGAUAUUCGGAAGAACACCAGUGGCGAAGGCGUCUCACUGGACUGGUAUUGACGCUGAGGUGCGAAAGCGUGGGGAGCAAACAGGAUUAGAUACCUGGUAGUCA